UACGUAGGGUGCGAGCGUUAUCCGGAAUUAUUGGGCGUAAAGAGCUCGUAGGCGGUUUGUCGCGUCUGUCGUGAAAGUCCGGGGCUUAACCCCGGAUCUGCGGUGGGUACGGGCAGACUAGAGUGCAGUAGGGGAGACUGGAAUUCCUGGUGUAGCGGUGGAAUGCGCAGAUAUCAGGAGGAACACCGAUGGCGAAGGCAGGUCUCUGGGCUGUAACUGACGCUGAGGAG
RNAcentral lists this ribosomal RNA (230 nucleotides) under uncultured microorganism. RNAcentral describes it as "partial 16S ribosomal RNA". It matches the Rfam family "Bacterial small subunit ribosomal RNA", at positions 524 to 753 of the family's 1533-position model. The record is from RNAcentral.